RNAcentral lists this ribosomal RNA (900 nucleotides) under Microporus sp. (in: basidiomycete fungi). RNAcentral's name for it is "Microporus sp. (in: Fungi) partial large subunit ribosomal RNA". It matches the Rfam family "Eukaryotic large subunit ribosomal RNA", at positions 71 to 958 of the family's 3401-position model. Lineage: Eukaryota; Fungi; Basidiomycota; Agaricomycetes; Polyporales; Polyporaceae. The record is from RNAcentral.
AGGAUUCCCCUAGUAACUGCGAGUGAAGCGGGAAAAGCUCAAAUUUAAAAUCUGGCGGUCUUUGGCCGUCCGAGUUGUAGUCUGGAGAAGUGCUUUCCGCGCUGGACCGUGUAUAAGUCUCUUGGAACAGAGCGUCAUAGAGGGUGAGAAUCCCGUCUUUGACACGGACUACCAGUGCUUUGUGAUGCGCUCUCAAAGAGUCGAGUUGUUUGGGAAUGCAGCUCAAAAUGGGUGGUAAAUUCCAUCUAAAGCUAAAUAUUGGCGAGAGACCGAUAGCGAACAAGUACCGUGAGGGAAAGAUGAAAAGCACUUUGGAAAGAGAGUUAAACAGUACGUGAAAUUGCUGAAAGGGAAACGCUUGAAGUCAGUCGCGUCUGCCGGAACUCAGCCUUGCUUUUGCUUGGUGCAUUUUCCGGUUGACGGGCCAGCAUCGAUUUUGACCGUCGGAAAAGGGCUAGGGAAAUGUGGCACCUUCGGGUGUGUUAUAGUCUCUAGUCGCAUACGGCGGUUGGGAUCGAGGACCGCAGCGCGCCGCAAGGCAGGGGUUCGCCCACUUUCGCGCUUAGGAUGCUGGCAUAAUGGCUUUAAACGACCCGUCUUGAAACACGGACCAAGGAGUCUAACAAACCUGCGAGUGUUUGGGUGGUAAACCCGAGCGCGUAAUGAAAGUGAAAGUUGAGACCUCUGUCGUGGAGGGCAUCGACGCCCGGACCUGACGUUCUCUGAAGGAUCCGCGGUAGAGCAUGUUUGUUGGGACCCGAAAGAUGGUGAACUAUGCCUGAAUAGGGUGAAGCCAGAGGAAACUCUGGUGGAGGCUCGUAGCGAUUCUGACGUGCAAAUCGAUCGUCAAAUUUGGGUAUAGGGGCGAAAGACUAAUCGAACCAUCUAGUAGCUGGUUCC